Molecule: transfer-messenger RNA, 360 nt
Filed under: Actinomycetes bacterium
Lineage: Bacteria; Bacillati; Actinomycetota; Actinomycetes
Description: Actinobacteria bacterium transfer-messenger RNA
Rfam family: transfer-messenger RNA
About the family: Bacterial tmRNA, also known as 10Sa RNA or SsrA, is named for its dual tRNA and mRNA-like properties. Its role is to liberate the mRNA from a stalled ribosome.
Source: RNAcentral
GGGGGCGACCUGGUUUCGACGUGGUCGGUUCUCCGGCAGAGCUGCAAGCCGAGGUCGCCGGUAGGCCUCGUAAAACCACCGGCACCAAUGCAAGUGCGAAGAACGAUCUCGCACUCGCUGCCUAAGUAAUUAGGUAGCGACGUCGCUCCAAGCUGGGCCCGUGGCUCGGGUAGCGGCGCCAACAACGGGCUCGGCACCGAAGGAGAGCCAAUCGCCGGAGGUGCGACACAACAGGAUGGCUGGCCCGCCGGUAGGGCGUCCGCCUCCGGCCGUCGGGCGAGAUCCAAUGGCGGACUAAGCUUGUAGAAGUUCUGCGCGGGGCUUCCGCGGACGCGGGUUCGAUUCCCGCCGCCUCCAUGA